CAGAGUAUAGCUCAACAGAAAAGCAUCUCCCUUACACUGAGAAAAUACCUGUGCAAAUCAGGUUACCCUGA
Molecule: transfer RNA, 71 nt
Filed under: Novumbra hubbsi
Lineage: Eukaryota; Metazoa; Chordata; Actinopteri; Esociformes; Umbridae
Description: tRNA-Val
Rfam family: tRNA
About the family: Transfer RNA (tRNA) molecules are approximately 80 nucleotides in length. Their secondary structure includes four short double-helical elements and three loops (D, anti-codon, and T loops).
Source: RNAcentral